UCUUCAUUCUUCGUGCUCUCUCGCCGGUCAGAGAGACGAGAGAGCACGCAGAAUCAAGAGA
This 61-nucleotide microRNA precursor is filed under the name Pristionchus pacificus. RNAcentral's name for it is "mir-8364 microRNA precursor family". It matches the Rfam family "mir-8364 microRNA precursor family". The record is from Rfam by way of RNAcentral. Lineage: Eukaryota; Metazoa; Nematoda; Chromadorea; Rhabditida; Neodiplogasteridae.